UACAGAGGUCUCAAGCGUUGUUCGGAUUCAUUGGGCGUAAAGGGUGCGUAGGCGGCGCGGUAAGUCGGGUGUGAAAUCUCGGAGCUUAACUCCGAAACUGCAUUCGAUACUGCCGUGCUUGAGGACUGGAGAGGAGACUGGAAUUUACGGUGUAGCGGUGAAAUGCGCAGAUAUCAGGAGGAACACCGGUGGCGAAGGCGGGUCUCUGGGCCGAUGACUGACGCUGAGGAGCGAAAGCGUGGGGAGCGAACAGG
This 254-nucleotide ribosomal RNA is filed under the name uncultured bacterium. RNAcentral describes it as "partial 16S ribosomal RNA". It matches the Rfam family "Bacterial small subunit ribosomal RNA", at positions 524 to 776 of the family's 1533-position model. The record is from RNAcentral.